UAGGGAAUUUUCGUCAAUGGGGGGCAACCCCUGAACGAGCAAUGCCGCGUGAGCGAAGAAGGUCUUCGGAUUGUAAAGCUCUGUUGCCGGGGAAAAAGGAAGGAAAGAGG
This 110-nucleotide ribosomal RNA is filed under the name uncultured bacterium. RNAcentral describes it as "partial 16S ribosomal RNA". It matches the Rfam family "Bacterial small subunit ribosomal RNA", at positions 355 to 462 of the family's 1533-position model. The record is from RNAcentral.